RNAcentral lists this ribosomal RNA (253 nucleotides) under uncultured bacterium. RNAcentral describes it as "partial 16S ribosomal RNA". It matches the Rfam family "Bacterial small subunit ribosomal RNA", at positions 524 to 776 of the family's 1533-position model. The record is from RNAcentral.
UACGAAGGGUGCAAACGUUGCUCGGAAUUAUUGGGCGUAAAGCGCACGUAGGCGGCUUAGCAAGUCGGAAGUGAAAGCCCUUGGCUCAACCAAGGAAGUGCUUUCGAAACUGCUGAGCUUGAGUAGUUAAGAGGAUCGCGGAAUUCCCGGUGUAGAGGUGAAAUUCGUAGAUAUCGGGAGGAACACCAGUGGCGAAGGCGGCGAUCUGGGAACAUACUGACGCUGAGGAACGAAAGCCAGGGGAGCGAACGGG